This 83-nucleotide transfer RNA is filed under the name Synechococcus sp. Nb3U1. RNAcentral describes it as "tRNA-Leu". It matches the Rfam family "tRNA". From Rfam's summary of the family: Transfer RNA (tRNA) molecules are approximately 80 nucleotides in length. Their secondary structure includes four short double-helical elements and three loops (D, anti-codon, and T loops). RNAcentral also lists the same sequence under 12 other names. Lineage: Bacteria; Bacillati; Cyanobacteriota; Cyanophyceae; Synechococcales; Synechococcaceae. The record is from RNAcentral.
GGGAUCGUGGCGGAAUGGUAGACGCUACGGACUUAAAAUCCGUUGUUCGCAAGAACGUGAGGGUUCGAGUCCCUCCGAUCCCA